AUACUACCACCCUUUUUAUAAAAAUUUCGAUUCCAAUGGGUCCAAACUAUACUUUUAUCAGAAUAUAGUCCAUUUAUAAGAAUAUUUAAUUAUUAACUUCCUUUCAACUCAUUUGACAAUACGGGGGAUCGGCCACGUAAAGUCCUCCGUCCCGAGCACCGAACAUAAGUCCCAUCGGCAACGGAUCGUCCCAAGCACCGGAUAUAAGUCCCAUUGGUGAUGGAUAGUCGUAAGCACCGGACAUAAAUCCCAU
This 253-nucleotide long non-coding RNA is filed under the name Daucus carota (carrot). Its description in RNAcentral is "long non-coding RNA (DCAR_LNC004155)". The record is from RNAcentral. Lineage: Eukaryota; Viridiplantae; Streptophyta; Magnoliopsida; Apiales; Apiaceae.